GAUACAUGGAAUUGCUCUUUCUACCAAGGCCUAGCACAGAGCUUUGCCAGGACACAGUGUGGCCAGCUAGAGGAAAGGAACAGGAACCAAAAUGUCUUCAUUUGCAAAGCGCUGGUGGCGCGAUCCAAGCCCAGCAGAGACCCUUUUGCAGAAUGGCAGCCAGUGACAGGCUGCGAGACUGAAAUGUUCUUCAAAGUUUCAAUCACCCAAGGUAAUAGUUUCAUCAGAGAAAGCACUGAGGUUUUUUUGUCACUCAGUUCUUCACUUGAUCCUACAAAUCCUAAAAUCAGUAACCUUUCACCAAACUGUCUGUGAGAAGGAAAAGGUUAUAUCUGACAUGGAGGAAAUGGUGU
Molecule: long non-coding RNA, 353 nt
Organism: Vidua macroura (Pin-tailed whydah)
Lineage: Eukaryota; Metazoa; Chordata; Aves; Passeriformes; Viduidae
Exons: 3
Source: RefSeq, a predicted model, not a curated record